AACGCACGAGACCUGCGGACCUGCGGAAGGAUCAUUACCGAGUUUACAACUCCCAAACCCCAUGUGAACAUACCUGUUUCGUUCCCUCGGCGGUGUCCGGCAACGGCCCGCCAGAGGACCCAACAAACUCUUUUGAAUUUUUCAGUAUCUUCUGAGUGAAAAAAACAAUAAAUCAAAACUUUUAACAACGGAUCUCU
Molecule: unclassified non-coding RNA, 197 nt
Filed under: soil metagenome
Description: partial contains 5.8S ribosomal RNA, internal transcribed spacer 2, and large subunit ribosomal RNA
Source: RNAcentral